This 253-nucleotide ribosomal RNA is filed under the name uncultured bacterium. RNAcentral describes it as "partial 16S ribosomal RNA". It matches the Rfam family "Bacterial small subunit ribosomal RNA", at positions 524 to 776 of the family's 1533-position model. The record is from RNAcentral.
UACGUAGGGAGCAAGCGUUGUCCGGAAUCAUUGGGCGUAAAGCGCGCGUAGGUGGCCUCAUAAGUCCGCUGUGAAAGUCCAAGGCUCAACCUUUGAAUGCCGGUGGAUACUGUGGGGCUAGAGUACGGAAGAGGCGAGUGGAAUUCCUGGUGUAGCGGUGAAAUGCGCAGAUAUCAGGAGGAACACCAAUAGCGAAGGCAGCUCGCUGGGACGUUACUGACGCUGAGGCGCGAAAGCGUGGGGAGCGAACAGG